Molecule: small nuclear RNA, 22 nt
Filed under: Arabidopsis thaliana (thale cress)
Lineage: Eukaryota; Viridiplantae; Streptophyta; Magnoliopsida; Brassicales; Brassicaceae
Description: snRNA_17557
Source: RNAcentral
GAACACAAUGACAUGAAUGAAU